UACGGAGGGCGCGAGCGUUAAUCGGAAUUACUGGGCGUAAAGCGCGCGUAGGCUGUUGUGUAAGUUGGGGGUGAAAUCCCACGGCUCAACCGUGGAACAGCCCUUGAUACUGCGCGACUUGAAUCCGGGAGAGGGUGGCGGAAUUCCAGGUGUAGGAGUGAAAUCCGUAGAUAUCUGGAGGAACAUCAGUGGCGAAGGCGGCCACCUGGACCGGUAUUGACGCUGAGGCGCGAAAGCGUGGGGGGCAAACAGG
RNAcentral lists this ribosomal RNA (253 nucleotides) under uncultured bacterium. Its description in RNAcentral is "partial 16S ribosomal RNA". It matches the Rfam family "Bacterial small subunit ribosomal RNA", at positions 524 to 776 of the family's 1533-position model. The record is from RNAcentral.